ACUUUGCCGGAUUAGCUGAGAGGUGGUGCAUGGCCGUCGUCAGUUCGUACUGUGAAGCAUCCUGUUAAGUCAGGCAACGAGCGAGACCCACGCCCACAGUUGCCAGCGUACUCUCUGGAGUGACGGGUACGACUGUGGGGACCGCCGCUGCUAAAGCGGAGGAAGGAAUGGGCAACGGUAGGUCAGUAUGCCCCGAAUAUCCCGGGCUACACGCGAGCUACAAUGGUUGGUACAAUGGGUAUCUACCCCGAAAGGGGACGGGAAUCUCCUAAAACCAAUCUUAGUUCGGAUUGAGGGCUGCAACUCGCCCUCAUGAAGCUGGAAUCCGUAGUAAUCGCGUUUCAACAGAACGCGGUGAAUACGUCCCUGCUCCUU
RNAcentral lists this ribosomal RNA (375 nucleotides) under uncultured Methanosaeta sp. RNAcentral's name for it is "bacterial SSU rRNA". It matches the Rfam family "Archaeal small subunit ribosomal RNA", at positions 965 to 1338 of the family's 1478-position model. The record is from RNAcentral. Lineage: Archaea; Methanobacteriati; Methanobacteriota; Methanomicrobia; Methanotrichales; Methanotrichaceae.